UAUAGAUUUUUAACAACGCAUGAGUUGUUGUGGUCUGCAGCCACCGCGGAACCGGAUGACAUUAGGAUGUCGCUCGGACACAGUCACAUGGUGUUUGGAUGGUCAGUCGUGAAAGCCACAUGAGUGUGCACAGAGCACAGGUGCAGACGCGUUAACCAGACAUCCGCUGUCAGUGUGUGACCACAGCUUCAGCACCGGGGAUCCCCAUCUCAGCAUGCCUCACAAGAGCAAAAAAGAAAAGGAAACCAAAUCUGCAAGAUCUAAAAAAUCUGGAUGUAAAAAUGGGCCUGCAGAAGACCAAGAUGGCUCCAAUAAGAAAGUGCCUCCCGCAACUCAGGUGAUGAGGGUGAAGCAGCCAGGGUCACACUCGGCCUUGAAGAGGGAGAAGAGGUUCAGCACUUCCUCUUUCCCCCUCAGUGCUAACAGAGA
Molecule: long non-coding RNA, 429 nt
Organism: Cottoperca gobio
Lineage: Eukaryota; Metazoa; Chordata; Actinopteri; Perciformes; Bovichtidae
Exons: 3
Source: RefSeq, a predicted model, not a curated record